AAUGCGGUAAAAUGCCAUAUAUGGGGCUCAUAACCCAAAGGUCAGAGGUUCGAAUCCUCUCCCCGCUACCA
Molecule: transfer RNA, 71 nt
Filed under: Smithella sp. SC_K08D17
Lineage: Bacteria; Pseudomonadati; Thermodesulfobacteriota; Syntrophia; Syntrophales; Smithellaceae
Also listed under: 1 other name
Description: tRNA-Met
Source: RNAcentral